This 73-nucleotide transfer RNA is filed under the name Canis lupus familiaris (dog). It matches the Rfam family "tRNA". From Rfam's summary of the family: Transfer RNA (tRNA) molecules are approximately 80 nucleotides in length. Their secondary structure includes four short double-helical elements and three loops (D, anti-codon, and T loops). RNAcentral also lists the same sequence under 2 other names. The record is from Rfam by way of RNAcentral. Lineage: Eukaryota; Metazoa; Chordata; Mammalia; Carnivora; Canidae.
GCCUGGGUAGCUCAGUCAGUUGAGCAUAGGACUCUUGAUCUCAGAGUCAUGAGUUCAAGCCCCACCUUAGGCA